CUAAUACAUGCAAGUCGAGCGAACUGAUUAGAAGCUUGCUUCUAUGACGUUAGCGGCGGACGGGUGAGUAACACGUGGGCAACCUGCCUGUAAGACUGGGAUAACUUCGGGAAACCGAAGCUAAUACCGGAUAGGAUCUUCUCCUUCAUGGGAGAUGAUUGAAAGAUGGUUUCGGCUAUCACUUACAGAUGGGCCCGCGGUGCAUUAGCUAGUUGGUGAGGUAACGGCUCACCAAGGCAACGAUGCAUAGCCGACCUGAGAGGGUGAUCGGCCACACUGGGACUGAGACACGGCCCAGACUCCUACGGGAGGCAGCAGUAGGGAAUCUUCCGCAAUGGACGAAAGUCUGACGGAGCAACGCCGCGUGAGUGAUGAAGGCUUUCGGGUCGUAAAACUCUGUUGUUAGGGAAGAACAAGUACAAGAGUAACUGCUUGUACCUUGACGGUACCUAACCAGAAAGCCACGGCUAACUACGUGCCAGCAGCCGCGGUAAUACGUAGGUGGCAAGCGUUAUCCGGAAUUAUUGGGCGUAAAGCGCGCGCAGGCGGUUUCUUAAGUCUGAUGUGAAAGCCCACGGCUCAACCGUGGAGGGUCAUUGGAAACUGGGGAACUUGAGUGCAGAAGAGAAAAGCGGAAUUCCACGUGUAGCGGUGAAAUGCGUAGAGAUGUGGAGGAACACCAGUGGCGAAGGCGGCUUUUUGGUCUGUAACUGACGCUGAGGCGC
Molecule: ribosomal RNA, 725 nt
Filed under: Priestia megaterium
Lineage: Bacteria; Bacillati; Bacillota; Bacilli; Caryophanales; Bacillaceae
Description: bacterial SSU rRNA
Rfam family: Bacterial small subunit ribosomal RNA
Source: RNAcentral